UUUCAUUCACUUCAACAACUCUAUAUUAACUGUUUUCGUUCAUAUUUUUUUCUCCUUUCUCUUUUUUCUUCUUUUUUUUCUUUUCUUUUUCAUAAGGAGUAUGUAUUUACAUGUAUACAUCCUUCUAUUUUUUUUCAUUCAUUUUUUUUCAUUUCUAUUUUUCUUUUCUUUUUCUACCAACUUCUAAAAUAUUGCAAACAUAAUUAUUCAACCCCACACAA
RNAcentral lists this long non-coding RNA (221 nucleotides) under Lathyrus oleraceus (garden pea). Its description in RNAcentral is "Pisum sativum (pea) long non-coding RNA (PSAT_LNC025024)". The record is from RNAcentral. Lineage: Eukaryota; Viridiplantae; Streptophyta; Magnoliopsida; Fabales; Fabaceae.